CGGGGUGAGUAACGCGUGGAUAACCUGCCUCACACAGGGGGAUAACAGUUAGAGAUGACUGCUAAUACCGCAUAAGCGCACGGUACCGCAUGGUACAGUGUGAAAAACUCCGGUGGUGUGAGAUGGAUCCGCGUCUGAUUAGGUAGUUGGUGAGGUAACGGCCCACCAAGCCGACGAUCAGUAGCCGACCUGAGAGGGUGACCGGCCACAUUGGGACUGAGACACGGCCCAA
This 232-nucleotide ribosomal RNA is filed under the name uncultured bacterium. RNAcentral's name for it is "partial 16S ribosomal RNA". It matches the Rfam family "Bacterial small subunit ribosomal RNA", at positions 104 to 334 of the family's 1533-position model. The record is from RNAcentral.